RNAcentral lists this ribosomal RNA (463 nucleotides) under uncultured Sphingobacteriales bacterium. RNAcentral's name for it is "bacterial SSU rRNA". It matches the Rfam family "Bacterial small subunit ribosomal RNA", at positions 916 to 1382 of the family's 1533-position model. The record is from RNAcentral. Lineage: Bacteria; Pseudomonadati; Bacteroidota; Sphingobacteriia; Sphingobacteriales.
GGGGCCCGCACAAGCGGAGGAACAUGUGGUUAAUUCGAUGAUACGCGAGGAACUUACCUGGCUUAAAUGUAGAGUGCAUUUUUUAGAGAUAGAAAUUCCCUUCGGGGCUUUCUGCAAGGUGCUGCAUGGUUGUCGUCAGCUCGUGCCGUGAGGUGUCGGGUUAAGUCCCAUAACGAGCGCAACCCUUAUCGUUAGUUGCCAUCUGGUAAUGCAGGGGACUCUAGCGAAACUGCCACCGUAAGGUGAGAGGAAGGUGGGGAUGACGUCAAAUCAGCACGGCCCUUAUGUCCAGGGCUACACACGUGUUACAAUGGUCGGUACAGAGGGCAGCUACCUGGUGACAGGAUGCUAAUCUCGAAAACCGGUCUCAGUUCGGAUCGAAGUCUGCAACUCGACUUCGUGAAGCUGGAUUCGCUAGUAAUCGCGCAUCAGCUAUGGCGCGGUGAAUACGUUCCCGGGCCUU